RNAcentral lists this long non-coding RNA (2870 nucleotides) under Citrus x clementina. Its description in RNAcentral is "Citrus clementina (C. clementina) long non-coding RNA (CCLE_LNC006729)". The record is from RNAcentral. Lineage: Eukaryota; Viridiplantae; Streptophyta; Magnoliopsida; Sapindales; Rutaceae.
AGAAUAUCACAAGACACACGCAUUCUCUCUCAGGCCACAAAAUUUCACCACGCUCCGUUCUCACUGUUGGUUCUCCAUUGACUGCGUCUCGUUCCCUCGCUGCGCCUCAGUCUCUCGGCUCUCUCAGAAAUUGACUUGCGGCUUUUCUUUCCCCUCCCCCCUAAAUCCACAGCAGCAAUGGGUCUGUCCACAGCUGCAGUUGUGUCGUCGUCAACAACUGCUGUAAUCGAUUUCUGGAUAUAAUUUGCUUUAUUAAUUGCAAAUUUAGUUGUCUACGGUUAUGAAUUUGUGGAGACUCAGCUGUUGUUCUGUUAAUUUGUGUUGAGAAUAGGGUGCUUUAAUUUUGUUAUUCUUGGUGCUGAGCUUACUGGUCAAGUCAAUUACUUUGAUUUUUUUAUUGUUGAUGCUGAACACUUAGCUUAGUCAAAAUUACCGUAGAUUUAGCUUAGUUUUUUUUUUUUCGGGUAAUUCUUGAUGCUGAGCUUACUGGGCAAGUCAGUUACUUUGAUUUUUUGAUUCUUGAUGUUGAACACUUAGCUUACUAAAAAUUAGAAUACACUUAACUUAGGUUUUUUCUUUUUUCUUUUUAUUCUCGAUGCUGAGCUUCAGAUUACUGGAAAUUAAAUUUGAAUAGAUUGGUUUGUAUAUGCAUUUUUCAUUAUCGAUGUUGAGCUUCAGAUUGCUAAAAUUUAAAUUCGGAUAUAUUGUUUUCUUAUUUGGGUCCUUUUGUUCAUUAUAAUCUUUGAAAUUAAAAGCAGCCUUGAUCUAUUAAUUUAUUGCAAGCCCGUAUGGCUGCUACUUGAAACUCAUUGCAAUUGCCUUCUACAAUGAUGCCAGUUGGUUAUUUAUUUUUUUUUUUGGGUCAUUUUGUUGUUUCUGUUUUAUUAAUAUGAAUUAUAUUCAUUUUGUUCAUCUUAUCUACUUUAUUUUUUCUGAUUAUAGCAAAAUGUUUAUUUUUUUAACGGCAACCACAACUCCAGCGGCAUGAACAUUUUCAGCAGCUGCUCCUUCAGCAAGAUAAUGAAUAUGGAGUUAAUAGGAAGUUUCAAAGUGAUUUCGCAAAAUAGCAUUUUAUUUGUAUUUUAAGAAUGAAGAAUGCAGAUGUUUGUUUUAUUUUCAUUCAUAUUCUGAUUACAAGCCUUUGGCUAUCAGUUGUAAGCUUGUGGAAUAUUGAAGGGGUAUCAAUUAUUUGGUCUUGAUUGUGCAUGAAUGGAUGUUUUAUACUUUUAUUUAAUUUCUCAGUUUAUAAAUUCUCUUCCUUAACCCUGUUUCACCCGGAUCAUGUGUGAAACUUUGUUAUUUAGAGCUAGGUAUUUAAGUAUGUCAUACUUGAAUUUUAAUGUUGGUUUUGUGAAGUAAUUGUCUCCUAAAUGAAUGCUUCUGGAUACAUGUGUUAAUAUCAAUUACCGUGCAUUCUUUUUGCAUUGCUCUCGAACUAUUAGUCUUUACCCCUUAGGUUCACCGUAUUCUUUCGAAUCAACGUGAAUUUAAACUGUUCUUUUAUUCUGGUACUCUCAAAAAUCAAUGGAAUAUUCGAACAUUAAACUUCGGCUGCAUCACCAAGCCUCUUCAGGAAACUGCUUAACACUUUCAAUGGUAGAUGCUCCGUAGCCAUAUGAGUCUUACUUUGUGUUCUUAGUUAGAAAGGAAUCAAAUGUUUUGAUAUUUUGCUUAGAACCACAGUGUUCUUUGCUGAGAACAAGUACAAAAUUUGAGAGAUAUUAAGUUGGAUUUUUCUUUUCUUAUUAAAAAUAAAUGAAUUUGUACUACGCCACUUUUUAUACCAUCUGUAGUUGUGAAGAUUAUGCUAUAACUAAUCUUCCAAUUGGCCUAACUAAUAGCAUAAAUUAAGCACUUUAUUAACUGUUUGGUUAUUAACUCUGUUAAUUUACCUUCUCCCAAACAACCUCCCUUUUUGUUUGUGAGAAUUAUGGAAAAUUCUGUUCUACCCAUAAGUAUGUAGGUUGAAGCUUCUUUACAUUCAAUGAUGGCUGCUCGAUAGCUAUAUUAACAGAUACAUUUAUUGUAAGAUAAGGUAGUGUAACUAAUUAUGUAACACCCUAAUUUCACCAACAAGGUACUAAAGUAAAAUUGAAGUGAAAUUACAUUUCACCUUUCUCAUUUAUAAGACAAUCAAAAUAAUAUCCAACAAUAAAUGUUCUAGCCUCUAAAAGAAAAUAAGUAAUGAAAUAACACAUCCUCAAAUAAAUAUAAUUCUAAAGGCAGCUAAAAUAUUCAUAAAUUAUUAACGUAACAUUAAUCCCUAAAAGAAACUGAGUUCUUAUUCUUCCUCCUAAGACCUAAAACCUUAAGUCAAAAAGCAAUGUCCUCCCCAAAGCUUGUUUCCAAAGACCCUUCGAACUAAUAAUCAUUACUGUCUAUGAAUGAAUGAUUGACAAGGGGUGAGCUGUUAUAUUCAAUAGGUAGAAACAUGCAUAAUAAAUAGAAUAGUCACUUUACUCAAUAUUUUUAGAAAUUCAAUUUAGCUUUAAAUACUGAACUGAUAUAUGAAUAUUUGAAUAGAAGCUUUGGUUAAUACUAGUUUUGCUUAAAACAAAUUUAGAUAAAACAGUUCGAACUGAAUUCAAAUCCAAAAACAUUUAUCAUGUCAAAAUAUAUUGGAAAACAUAUAUCAUAUUAUGAUAUUUCAUAUGGGAGACUCUUGUCAAAUAGCGUCACCUACACUUAUCGUCACCCGUAGGGUGCGCAAAAAAACUCGGGCCAGUCCAGCCUAAGCCUAGGACUUUAGGCCCAGUCCGCAUCAUGAGACCAUGACAAUUGGCCAAAAAUCUUAAAAGCUGUUGUGAAUGAGCCUAGUUAAUGGCUUAUGAAAAAAGCCUAAGCCUUUAUAAUUUAUAAAUCAAGAAAAU